This 547-nucleotide ribosomal RNA is filed under the name uncultured bacterium. RNAcentral describes it as "bacterial SSU rRNA". It matches the Rfam family "Bacterial small subunit ribosomal RNA", at positions 99 to 634 of the family's 1533-position model. The record is from RNAcentral.
CGGCCGCGUCGACCGAGCGCAGGCGGUUAGAAGGGGAUAACUAUUGGAAACGAUAGCUAAUACCGACAUAACAGUAUUGUAACACAUGUUAGAUGCUUGAAAGAUGCAAUUGCAUCGCUAGUAGAUGGACCUGCGUUGUAGUUAGCUAGUAGGUAGGGUAAUGGGCCUACCUAGGCAACGAUACAUAGCCGACCUGAGAGGGUGAUCGGCCACACUGGGACUGAGACACGGCCCAGACUCCUACGGGAGGCAGCAGUAGGGAAUCUUCGGCAAUGGGGGGGAACCCCUGACCGAGCAACGCCGCGUGAGUGAAGAAGGUUUUCGGAUCGUAAAGCUCUGUUGUUAAGGAAGAACGAGUGUGAGAAUGGAAAGUUCAUACUGUGACGGUACUUAACCAGAAAGGGACGGCUAACUACGUGCCAGCAGCCGCGGUAAUACGUAGGUCCCGAGCGUUGUCCGGAUUUAUUGGGCGUAAAGCGAGCGCAGGCGGUUAGAAAGUACUGAAGUGAAAGGCAGUGGCUCAACCAUUGUAGGCUUUGGAAUGAAC